This 1083-nucleotide ribosomal RNA is filed under the name Triticum aestivum (bread wheat). RNAcentral's name for it is "partial small subunit ribosomal RNA". The record is from RNAcentral. Lineage: Eukaryota; Viridiplantae; Streptophyta; Magnoliopsida; Poales; Poaceae.
AUGGCGGACCACCAGCAGCUGCUCCCGUCGUUGACGUGCAGGUGCAGCAACUGCGCCACCGAGCGCGCCGUCGUCUUCUGCUUGGCCGACGGCGCCAGGCUCUGCCUCGAGUGCGACGGCGCCGUGCACGGCGCCAGCGACCUCGCGGGCCUCCACUCGCGCGCCCCGCUCUGCGACGCCUGCUGCGCCGCGCCCGCCGCGCUCCGCUGCCAAACCGGCGCCCACCGUGCCACGCUCUGCGCCGGCUGCGCCGACGGCCGCGGCGGCGCCUCCCUCGUGGAGGUUUACACCGGCUGCCCCGCGCCCGCCGAGGUCCUCCGCACCCUCUCCGUCGACGCGCCGUCAUCGUCGCAGGAGGACUUCGACGCCUGGCUCGCCCACAACCUCCCCCAAAUCCUACAGGAUGUUCAGAUCUACGAUGCGAGUGGCACAACAACAAUAGUAGGAGAUCAAAGAGGCCCCAGCAGCAGUAGCUUCGUCUGUGAUGAUUGGAACAAUGGCUGCUCAACUACCUGUGCUCCACAAUGUUCUGUGCUUGAGAAUACUAAUGGAGUACUUGUUGGUCAUCACUUAGCUGGGCCUUCACUCACUUUUGAGCAACAGCAGCAGCUGCCACCGUCAAUCUGCCACAUCUCAUCAUCUUACAACCCAUCAACAUUAUCGUGCCAGCCGACCAUGACAUCGACUACUCUUCUGCAAUCCAUGGGCAACGAUCAUCAUCCAUCGCUGCUCCUUGAUGACUUCCCUACUUUCUACCCUGCCUUGCCCCUAAUAUCGCCGCCGCCACCACCGGAGAAUGGCACUGGCUGUCAUGAUGCCAACCAGCCAUCACAGAUGCUGACCGCAGAUGAGCAAGCAGCGGUGGCUCAUCAUCAGCAAGAUCCGAGCACCGUUAGUAAGAAGAGAGAGGAAAGGGACAGGGCCAAGCAAAGGUACAACGAGAAGAAGAAGAACAGGAAGUUCUGCAAGCAGAUCAUGUACGCGUCCCGAAAAGCAAGGGCGGACACACGAAAGCGAGUCAAGGGCAGAUUCGCCAAGGCUACCAAUGAGCACCAACACAUACUACACUCAGAUGCAGCAUAA